AUCCUUUUGUCGACCUUUUGGCUAAGAUCAAGAGUAGUAUCUGUUUCUAUCUGUUUAAUAUCUGAUACGUCCCCAUUGCGUUCGCGUAGGAUAUAAUUAUUUUUUCCAUAUGGGUAAACAGCUUCAAAAGCUGUUAUUGUAUGCUCUCUCCUUAUGCAACACCUU
Molecule: small nuclear RNA, 165 nt
Organism: Gossypium raimondii (Peruvian cotton)
Lineage: Eukaryota; Viridiplantae; Streptophyta; Magnoliopsida; Malvales; Malvaceae
Rfam family: U2 spliceosomal RNA
About the family: U2 is a small nuclear RNA (snRNA) component of the spliceosome (involved in pre-mRNA splicing).
Source: Rfam